Molecule: ribosomal RNA, 497 nt
Filed under: uncultured bacterium
Lineage: Bacteria
Description: partial 16S ribosomal RNA
Rfam family: Bacterial small subunit ribosomal RNA
Source: RNAcentral
GAUGAACGCUGGCGGCGUGCCUAAUACAUGCAAGUCGAGCGAACGGACGAGAGGCUUGCUUCUCUGAUGUUAGCGGCGGACGGGUGAGUAACACGUGGAUAACCUACCUAUAAGACUGGGAUAACUUCGGGAAACCGGAGCUAAUACCGGAUAAUAUUUUGAACCGCAUGGUUCAAAAGUGAAAGACGGUCUUGCUGUCACUUAUAGAUGGAUCCGCGCUGCAUUAGCUAGUUGGUAAGGUAACGGCUUACCAAGGCAACGAUGCAUAGCCGACCUGAGAGGGUGAUCGGCCACACUGGAACUGAGACACGGUCCAGACUCCUACGGGAGGCAGCAGUAGGGAAUCUUCCGCAAUGGGCGAAAGCCUGACGGAGCAACGCCGCGUGAGUGAUGAAGGUCCUCGGAUCGUAAAACUCUGUUAUUAGGGAAGAACAUAUGUGUAAGUAACUGUGCACAUCUUGACGGUACCUAAUCAGAAAGCCACGGCUAACUACGUG